Molecule: ribosomal RNA, 435 nt
Filed under: uncultured bacterium
Lineage: Bacteria
Description: bacterial SSU rRNA
Rfam family: Bacterial small subunit ribosomal RNA
Source: RNAcentral
UAACGCGAAGAACCUUACCUGGGUUUGACAUAUAGGGAAAUCCUCCAGAGAUGGGGGGUCCGUAAGGGUCCUAUACAGGUGGUGCAUGGCUGUCGUCAGCUCGUGUCGUGAGAUGUUGGGUUAAGUCCCGCAACGAGCGCAACCCUCGUCCUAUGUUGCCAGCACGUUAUGGUGGGGACUCAUAGGAGACUGCCGGGGUCAACUCGGAGGAAGGUGGGGAUGACGUCAAGUCAUCAUGCCCCUUAUGUCCAGGGCUUCACGCAUGCUACAAUGGCCGGUACAAAGGGCUGCGAAACUGCAAAGUGGAGCGAAUCCCAAAAAGCCGGUCUCAGUUCGGAUUGGGGUCUGCAACUCGACCCCAUGAAGUCGGAGUCGCUAGUAAUCGCAGAUCAGCAACGCUGCGGUGAAUACGUUCCCGGGUCUUGUACACACCGA